Molecule: ribosomal RNA, 252 nt
Filed under: uncultured bacterium
Lineage: Bacteria
Description: partial 16S ribosomal RNA
Rfam family: Bacterial small subunit ribosomal RNA
Source: RNAcentral
UUCCUACGGGAGGCAGCAGUAGGGAAUCUUCCACAAUGGACGAAAGUCUGAUGGAGCAACGCCGCGUGAGUGAAGAAGGGUUUCGGCUCGUAAAGCUCUGUUGGUAGUGAAGAAAGAUAGAGGUAGUAACUGGCCUUUAUUUGACGGUAAUUACUUAGAAAGUCACGGCUAACUACGUGCCAGCAGCCGCGGUAAUACGUAGGUGGCCAGCGUUGUCCGGAUUUAUUGGGCGUAAAGCGAGUGCAGGCGGUU